RNAcentral lists this long non-coding RNA (291 nucleotides) under Prunus persica (peach). Its description in RNAcentral is "long non-coding RNA (PPER_LNC006981)". The record is from RNAcentral. Lineage: Eukaryota; Viridiplantae; Streptophyta; Magnoliopsida; Rosales; Rosaceae.
GGAAGACAAUGGAAAGAGGGAGGGAAGUAUGACGGAAUUAGAACCCUUAGUGGCUAUAAAAAGGAGGACUUCUGCUACCCAGAGGAACCAACCCAUUUCCAGAGCUCGACCAAGCAUUGUCAAGCAGCUGGAAAAUCUACUCAAGCCACCCCAUCUCCUCCUCCAUUCGUUUUCUUCCUCCAUUAGGAAGGAAAUCAGCCAAAUCUUCCUUUGCUUGCUCUAAACCUCCAUCCUCCAUAGGAAAAUUCAUCUCUCUCUCUCUCUCAAAAUUGCUAAACCUGUGAAAGCCUA